Molecule: ribosomal RNA, 330 nt
Filed under: Triticum aestivum (bread wheat)
Lineage: Eukaryota; Viridiplantae; Streptophyta; Magnoliopsida; Poales; Poaceae
Description: partial small subunit ribosomal RNA
Source: RNAcentral
AUGGUUAUAAUAGGAGGAGAUGCGGAUGGCAAUGAAGGAGAUCGUUCUGGAAGUCAGUCGCUUCACCGGAACUCGAAGCGUCCUGCUAAUCGCCAGCAACGACCUGCGCAGAGUGUUGAGCAGGGAGAGGAUGUUGAGGAUGCUGAUCAGUUCUGUGUUGUAAAGCGGACUAGACGUGUAACACUUGGCAAGGGAGCUGAGUCAUCUUCUAGGGCAGCAGUUGCUGGAGAAUCUGUCGCAUCUUCCGCAGCAGAUGCUGAGGUAUCGGUGAAGGAGUUGAGGUGGCUCCAGGGGAAGAUGUGGAGCGACCAUCACAAGCAGGCAGGAUAA